AAGAGUGCGGUGAUGAUAUCUUUUGUGGACUAGAGUUUAUGAUCUGGGCUCUUCUCCCAGGACUUGAUUACAACCCCUUGGCUGUCUGAGCACCCUUCAUCUCACUUCUCAACCAAUCUAGUUUUGAAAGAUCUUGUUUUUAAAACUACCCAUCUCUGUUUUUGUGUUGUAGCACUUCAAACUCCAAAGCUUUUGAUUGUGUUUUAGCACUUCAUGGUGUUUCUUGUUACAUGAAUCUGACUGGAGCUUAUGAUGAAAAGUUUAAAUUAUCUUAGCGGAUUUCAGUGAGGUCUUAGGAUCAAUGAUCUGAUUGUUACACACACUGAGGCUCAAGUUUUAUGUAUUUUUCUAUCUUUGUUGAGUUUACAAAGUCAAAUGUUGAAAUUGUUGGGUUGUGGUUGCUGUGAUGAGGUUAAGCACUUGGACGUGUUUUGGGCAGUGGACGAGGCUUUAGGGUCUCGCCGUGAGCUCGAUACAAAAACGACUUCUCCUUCCACUGAGCUUCUAUUCCCGCAUAAAAAGUUUCGUGUUCUUGCUUUUAUCAUCAUCUGUGGUUAGGUUUACAAAAUCAAUGUAGGAUAAUUUUUUUUUUCCAAUGUGUGAAAAUUGCGUCCUUUACCAAUUCUAGUGGAUUAUCCGUUUCACUUGAUAUAAUGGCUUGGACGCCAAAUUGACAUUGUGGCCAUUCUGAUCUGUGGAUUUUCAAUGCCAUUUGAUCCGGGAAACUCCACAAACAUCU
Molecule: long non-coding RNA, 739 nt
Filed under: Rosa chinensis
Lineage: Eukaryota; Viridiplantae; Streptophyta; Magnoliopsida; Rosales; Rosaceae
Source: RNAcentral